UUCCCUGCACUACUGAAAUCUGUUGUUGUGUUGUUUGCCCAUAGCUCAGUACUGGGGAGGUAGAGGCAGGAGGAU
This 75-nucleotide microRNA precursor is filed under the name Microtus ochrogaster (prairie vole). RNAcentral's name for it is "miRNA (ENSMOCG00000005579.1)". The record is from RNAcentral. Lineage: Eukaryota; Metazoa; Chordata; Mammalia; Rodentia; Cricetidae.